AGCAGUGAGACGGUGGGGGAUAAGCUUCAUCGUCGAGAGGGAAACAACCCAGACCACCAACUAAGGUCCCUAAGCGCGUGCUAAGUGGGAAAGGAUGUGGAGUUGCAUGGACAACCAGGAGGUUGGCUUAGAAGCAGCCACCCUUGAAAGAGUGCGUAAUAGCUCACUGGUCAAGUGAUUCCGCGCCGACAAUGUAACGGGGCUCAAGCACGCCACCGAAGUUGUGGCAUUGACAUUAUUGGUAGGCCUUCGUGGUCCAGCCGUGUUGAUGGGUAGGAGAGCGUCGUGUGGCCAGCGAAGCGGCGGUGUGAACCAGCCGUGGAGGCUACACGAGUGAGAAUGCAGGCAUGAGUAGCGAAAGACGGGUGAGAAACCCGUCCUCCGAAAGACCAAGGGUUCCAGGGUCAAGCUAAUCUUCCCUGGGUAAGUCGGGACCUAAGGCGAGGCCGACAGGCGUAGUCGAUGGACAACGGGUUGAUAUUCCCGUACCGGCGAAGAACCGUCCCAAGCUAAUCCAGUAAUGCUAAGAGUCCGAAUCCCGUGACGAUCCCUUCGGGGUGAUGGUUGGGCCU
RNAcentral lists this non-coding RNA (572 nucleotides) under Beta vulgaris subsp. vulgaris (sugar beet). Its description in RNAcentral is "Bacterial large subunit ribosomal RNA". It matches the Rfam family "Bacterial large subunit ribosomal RNA", at positions 979 to 1525 of the family's 2925-position model. The record is from Rfam by way of RNAcentral. Lineage: Eukaryota; Viridiplantae; Streptophyta; Magnoliopsida; Caryophyllales; Amaranthaceae.